UUCCUGAAUAUGUAUAUUUAUUUAAUUUUGGACUUUUUGCUUUUACAAGUAAGCCUGGUUAUUCCUUUUUCCUUUUCAUUUAAUUAAUGUCUAGCUUCUGUAGACUUGAAAUAUGUUAUCUUGAAGUUAAUUAUGUAGGAGAUUCCCAGAUACAGUACACAGAAGUAAAAUCUGUAUGUGAUGAAUUAGAAGUGGCUAGUAAAUACAAAUUGUACUGCUAGGCUGGAGCACCCGGGUCUCUUUGUCAUUUUUUUUCUUUCUUUCUUUUUUCUUCUUUUUUUUUUUUUUCAGCUUUGGGCCUGUGGAUGGAGCAUUUGUUUGCUUAAAAUUUUCAGAGUACCUAUUUCAUACGAAAAGUGAGGGUGGAUUUUGGCAUCACUGCAGGUUCUUUUUCCAGAACCUUUUGGCCUUUUUCAAGUGUCUGGGCUCUAACUCAAAGUUACUAACCACAUCUGGCAUCUGGAGCACAGAAAGUUCAAGGCAGGAUGUCUCAACAGCCUGCAAAGAGUUCCAAAAAUUUAGAGAUAUCAGCUUUUUGCCAGAAUCACAGCAAAAGAAGAAGGAUAUGGGAAAAAUAAAUACUACAAUGGGUUCUGCUGCUGCUAACAAUUGUCCAUCCAGUCACAGAGAAUAAGGUAUGAUUUACCAGUUGCCUCUUCCCAUCUGUAGGGGUGUAGUUUACUGCUGCUGCCACAGCCAGAGAGAAAGAGGGUUUAUUUAGGGCUUGUUAGUAAUUAAUAGCUGAAGAAACAUUUGCAUCAGGUCACUGUUGCCUGUCUCUCUGUUUGCCAUGUAACAGGUACAUAAGGGCAUCUUGAAAGUACCAUAAUCUCAGACACCCUCUACAAUAACCUGGGGCUUUACUUCAGGUGCUUCUUGAAGAAUGCACUUUGCAUGUGGCAGAGAAGACCACUGACCUUCUGUAUUGUGAGGGAGGGAGGGAGGGAAGGAGGAAGAAAGAAAGGAAGAAGGAAGGAAGGAAGGAAGGAAGGAAGGAAGGAAGGAAGGAAGGAAGGAAGGAAGCAGUAAUGGUUCUUAGAGUUUCCAUGACAGUGUCGAAGAACUUCAGAAAAAAUCAAUGGAAAGCAUACAUUCAUUUCUUCUUUUUCAUCUUAAUUCCAAGUGAUGUGGAAACGUUAAUAGUUGUAUUUAACAUCUUGUAAGCAACAAGUAUUGCAAAACUUUCACUGAGAAGUGGUUCAACCCCACAGCUCUAAUUCCAAAAAUUACAGAUAUUAUCAGGAAAAUAAUCUGGAAAAGCAGAUAAAUUUCAUUUUGGCAAUCCUAUGUGAUAAUACUUUAAUAUAAUACUUCUAAUACUUCAUACUUCCAUUUCUUUGUAUUUUUUUUUUUUUUUUUUACUCUCAUCCUUCCCAUUUAAUUUUUAUUUAUUUAGUUAGUUAGUUGUUGAACAUAUAAAGAGUCUUCAAAUCUAUCUGCUUUCCCAUACAGGGAAACACAAAUCAACAGGGUUGGAAAACUUUGACAUUUAUCAAAUAUCACAAAAAUAUGGCUCUUAAUCAUCUUUGGAUUCUGAAAAUGAUAAAAGUUCUGGUAACUGAACUGAACUGACCCAAAUAUUUUCCACAGCUUCUCAAUAAGUACUCUAAAAGUCUGAUACAUCUCCAGUUCAUAGCUUUAAUAUCUUUCAGAAUUAGUCUUUAAAUAUUGCUGCCAAACCGAUUUUGAACUUAUUUUGGUUGUGUUUUGUGCAAUGUAUGUCUCUGUUUUUUAACUCUGUAGAGGCAAUGAGGAAAAGGGCCUAAAUAGAUGUGUUCCUCUAGCUCUUUUAAAAUAUCUGCUAUUUUUCUAGUUGACACCAUCAUGUAAUAUAGACUGCAUCAUAUAAUUGCAUACUGUUAAGUCAAAGUAAAUUCAUGUGCUACUCUCUAAUUGUGAAAACAAAAAUAUCAGCCACAAUUAAAAAAAAAUGUUAUAGGAAAACAAAAAUAACAGCCACAAUUAAAAAAAAAAAAUGUUAUAGGAAAUAGCAAACUUAACUAAACAAAAAUGUAAUAAAAAACCAAUUGCAAAGUCA
This 2038-nucleotide long non-coding RNA is filed under the name Anas platyrhynchos platyrhynchos (common mallard). RNAcentral describes it as "lncRNA (ENSAPLG00000022239.1)". The record is from RNAcentral. Lineage: Eukaryota; Metazoa; Chordata; Aves; Anseriformes; Anatidae.